RNAcentral lists this ribosomal RNA (494 nucleotides) under uncultured bacterium. RNAcentral's name for it is "partial 16S ribosomal RNA". It matches the Rfam family "Bacterial small subunit ribosomal RNA", at positions 28 to 507 of the family's 1533-position model. The record is from RNAcentral.
GACGAACGCUGGCGGCGUGCUUAACACAUGCCAGUCGAACGGUGAAGCGCCUUCCUUUUUGGUGGGUGUGGAUGAGUGGCGAACGGGUGAGUAACACGUGAGUAACCUGCCCCCUUCUUCUGGAUAACCGCAUGAAAGUGUGGCUAAUACGGGAUAUUCUGGGUCUGUCGCAUGAUGGGUCUGUGAAAGAUAUUGUUUCGGUGGGGGAUGGGCUCGCGGCCUAUCAGCUUGUUGGUGGGGUGAUGGCCUACCAAGGCGGUGACGGGUAGCCGGCCUGAGAGGGUGGACGGUCACACUGGGACUGAGACACGGCCCAGACUCCUACGGGAGGCAGCAGUGGGGAAUAUUGAACAAUGGGCGCAAGCCUGAUGCAGCGACGCCGCGUGAGGGAUGGAGGCCUUCGGGUUGUGAACCUCUUUCGCCAGUGAAGCAGGCCUGCCUCGUUUGUGGGUGGGUUGACGGUAGCUGGAUAAGAAGCGCCGGCUAACUACGUG